This 253-nucleotide ribosomal RNA is filed under the name uncultured bacterium. RNAcentral describes it as "partial 16S ribosomal RNA". It matches the Rfam family "Bacterial small subunit ribosomal RNA", at positions 524 to 776 of the family's 1533-position model. The record is from RNAcentral.
UACGGAGGGUGCAAGCGUUAUCCGGAUUUACUGGGUUUAAAGGGUGCGUAGGUGGGUCUGUAAGUCAGUGGUGAAAUCUCCGAGCUUAACUCGGAAACUGCCAUUGAUACUAUAGGUCUUGAAUUAUCUGGAGGUAAGCGGAAUAUGUCAUGUAGCGGUGAAAUGCUUAGAUAUGACAUAGAACACCAAUUGCGAAGGCAGCUUACUGCGGAUCGAUUGACACUGAGGCACGAAAGCGUGGGGAUCAAACAGG